GACGAACGCUGGCGGCGUGCCUAAUACAUGCAAGUAGAACGCACAGUUUAUACCGUAGCUUGCUACACCAUAGACUGUGAGUUGCGAACGGGUGAGUAACGCGUAGGUAACCUGCCUGGUAGCGGGGGAUAACUAUUGGAAACGAUAGCUAAUACCGCAUAAUAUUAAUUAUUGCAUGAUAAUUAAUUGAAAGGUGCAAUUGCACCACUACCAGAUGGACCUGCGUUGUAUUAGCUAGUAGGUGAGGUAACGGCUCACCUAGGCGACGAUACAUAGCCGACCUGAGAGGGUGAUAGGCCACACUGGGACUGAGACACGGCCCAGACUCCUACGGGAGGCAGCAGUAGGGAAUCUUCGGCAAUGGACGAAAGUCUGACCGAGCAACGCCGCGUGAGUGAAGAAGGUUUUCGGAUCGUAAAGCUCUGUUGUAAGAGAAGAACGGGUGUGAGAGUGGAAAGUUCACACUGUGACGGUAUCUUACCAGAAGGGGACGGCUAACUACGUG
RNAcentral lists this ribosomal RNA (505 nucleotides) under uncultured bacterium. Its description in RNAcentral is "partial 16S ribosomal RNA". It matches the Rfam family "Bacterial small subunit ribosomal RNA", at positions 28 to 507 of the family's 1533-position model. The record is from RNAcentral.